Molecule: ribosomal RNA, 468 nt
Filed under: uncultured bacterium
Lineage: Bacteria
Description: partial 16S ribosomal RNA
Rfam family: Bacterial small subunit ribosomal RNA
Source: RNAcentral
GACGAACGCUGGCGGCGUGCUUAACACAUGCAAGUCGAACGGAAAGGCCCUGCUUUUGUGGGGUGCUCGAGUGGCGAACGGGUGAGUAACACGUGAGUAACCUGCCCUUGACUUUGGGAUAACUUCAGGAAACUGGGGCUAAUACCGGAUAGGAGCUCCUGCUGCAUGGUGGGGGUUGGAAAGUUUCGGCGGUUGGGGAUGGACUCGCGGCUUAUCAGCUUGUUGGUGGGGUAGUGGCUUACCAAGGCUUUGACGGGUAGCCGGCCUGAGAGGGUGACCGGCCACAUUGGGACUGAGAUACGGCCCAGACUCCUACGGGAGGCAGCAGUGGGGAAUAUUGCACAAUGGGCGCAAGCCUGAUGCAGCAACGCCGCGUGCGGGAUGACGGCCUUCGGGUUGUAAACCGCUUUCGCCUGUGACGAAGCGUGAGUGACGGUAAUGGGUAAAGAAGCACCGGCUAACUACGUG